RNAcentral lists this transfer RNA (76 nucleotides) under bacterium. RNAcentral describes it as "tRNA-Val". It matches the Rfam family "tRNA". From Rfam's summary of the family: Transfer RNA (tRNA) molecules are approximately 80 nucleotides in length. Their secondary structure includes four short double-helical elements and three loops (D, anti-codon, and T loops). Further hydrogen bonds mediate the characteristic L-shaped molecular structure. tRNAs have two regions of fundamental functional importance: the anti-codon, which is responsible for specific mRNA codon recognition, and the 3' end, to which the tRNAs corresponding amino acid is attached (by aminoacyl-tRNA synthetases). tRNAs cope with the degeneracy of the genetic code in two manners: having more than one tRNA (with a specific anti-codon) for a particular amino acid; and 'wobble' base-pairing, i.e. permitting non-standard base-pairing at the 3rd anti-codon position. The record is from RNAcentral. RNAcentral also lists the same sequence under 2 other names.
GGGCGGUUAGCUCAGUUGGGAGAGCAUCGGCCUUACAAGCCGAGGGUCGGCAGUUCGAGCCUGCCACCGCCCACCA